Molecule: long non-coding RNA, 1693 nt
Filed under: Homo sapiens (human)
Lineage: Eukaryota; Metazoa; Chordata; Mammalia; Primates; Hominidae
Description: HSALNT0332613
Source: RNAcentral
CUGAAAGUGGUUAAUGCCUCAGUUCCUAGAGUUCCUGCCAUUGCCACACACUCUACCCCUAGCACUGUGUGGGGCACAUGGACAGCACAUGGGGAACCUGUGAUUGGGUCUCUGCUCUCCAGGAAUGUCUAGCACGCAGGCAACAUCACAAAGGAGGGCAGGACUGGCUGUGGGGUGCAGUGGACUGCAAAGGGGGAGAUAGGACAGAGGCUUUUAGCAACUAGGGGAAGUUUCACGAGGAGGAGGGGCUGACACCUGAAGCAGAGAUGAGAGUCCAACAGGCAGCAGGUGGGCGGGGAUCUGUGUCUGCAGAAGUUCAGCGGUGAAGGCUACACCAGGAAAUCUCAAGAGACAGAAAAGAUCAACUACACUGGAGCUGGGGGGACGUGAAGGAGAAAAAAGCAAACAGGGGCUGAGCAGCUGCUCCUUCCAUUCAUGGAUCAUUGAGGUCUCUGGCUGCCCUGUGUGGUUCUUUCCUUGACAUCACUUGGAUCCCUUCAUAGCUCACCAGGUCUUACUUGGAGCCAGCUAUUUGAAGCCUGAUUAACUGGAAGUGGAAUUUAUAUCUUUCAUUUAAGGAAUUUCUAAAUACAGGAAACUCAAUGCAUUUUACCAUCCAAAAGUGUUUGACAUGCCUAAGGAAAUGGAGCAUGAGGUUAUAUUAUAUAUCAGGAGGCAUCUAGUGGUGUGCUGCAGGGAUGUGGUGCUCUGGACUUGGUUAGCAUCUUUAUCAAUGGCAAUGACAAAAAGGGCAUCCUCAAUGAAUAACUGAAAGAGUUGAAGGAGAGAAGGAAAGAAGGGAGAGUGAAUAGAGAGAACAUUUACUAAAUGUGUAAUUUUCACACACAGUGUUGCAUUUCACCUUUCCAGCAACCGUAUGGGACAGGUGCUGUUCUCCCCAUUUUAUGAAGCAGGAAAUUGAAGCUCUGAAAGGGUAAUGAAUAGGCCCACAAGGACACAGUUGGUAAAGGAAGGGCUUGAAAUUUGAACCUACUGUAUUACAAAUUCUGCAUGCAAAAGUUGAACUGUGAUACUUAUGAGAUGUGUCCUUUGAUAAAACACACACCUGACUAAAUGUACCCAGGCAAGAUGGAGGAAAUAUCAUACCUUGUCAACAACGUGUGUAAAAAAUGGGCAUCAUUAUUUAUAACUAUUUUAAGUCCUACUAACUAGGGUAGGUAAUAGUAUUCUACCCUGCCAUGACCAGGCCACUCCUGGGGCACUGAGUUUAAUACUCAGGGCGUUCAGGAGACCCAUCUAUUCACCGAUUCACCUUGGCUGCUUUUGCACCAAAAUAGAAGAGUGGAGUAGUUGCAAUAGAGCUGAAAAUAUUUACUAUCUAUCUGGUUCCUUAAAGAAAAAAUUUUCUGUGCCCUGAUCUGAACCAGUGUUUUCUAAACCUUGAUUAUACUCCCACCUCCUUAAUCUUUUUUGUGUAUGGCAUCUUUGAAGUCCAUUUACACUAUUAUUUACUUUGUAAUUUUUUAAGUCAGUACGGUAUUUUUUAAAAAUUUAAACACUAUUGUAACCUCAUCCUAAGCAAAUGAUAUCUUUGUAAUAACAGGUUUUGUAUGUAAAUCAUAUAGGUUUAUAACAUGUUAAGAUAUAUUUUUAUAUUUGUAAUACAUAUAUUUUCAAUAUUGAUAUAUGCAUAAGUACAUACAAUAUUCAAUAAAAUAUUAAAACUAAUAAA